GACGAACGCUGGCGGCGUGCUUAACACAUGCAAGUCGAGCGGUAAGGCCCUUUCGGGGGUACGACGAGCGGCGAACGGGUGAGUAACACGUGGGUGACCUGCCCUCAGCUCUGGGAUAAGCCUGGGAAACCGGGUCUAAUACUGGAUAUGACUCCAUGACGCAUGUUGUGGGGUGGAAAGCCUUGUGCGGCUGAGGAUGGGCCCGCGGCCUAUCAGCUUGUUGGUGGGGUGANGGCCUACCAAGGCGACGACGGGUAGCCGGCCUGAGAGGGCGACCGGCCACACUGGGACUGAGACACGGCCCAGACUCCUACGGGAGGCAGCAGUGGGGAAUCUUGCGCAAUGGGCGAAAGCCUGAUGCAGCGACGCCGCGUGAGGGAUGACGGCCU
This 389-nucleotide ribosomal RNA is filed under the name uncultured bacterium. RNAcentral's name for it is "bacterial SSU rRNA". It matches the Rfam family "Bacterial small subunit ribosomal RNA", at positions 28 to 417 of the family's 1533-position model. The record is from RNAcentral.